This 448-nucleotide ribosomal RNA is filed under the name uncultured bacterium. RNAcentral describes it as "bacterial SSU rRNA". It matches the Rfam family "Bacterial small subunit ribosomal RNA", at positions 330 to 792 of the family's 1533-position model. The record is from RNAcentral.
GCCAGACUCCUACGGGAGGCAGCAGUGGGGAAUAUUGGACAAUGGGGGGAACCCUGAUCCAGCGACGCCGCGUGAGUGAAGAAGUAUUUCGGUAUGUAAAGCUCUAUCAGCAGGGAAGAAAGAAAUGACGGUACCUGACUAAGAAGCCCCGGCUAACUACGUGCCAGCAGCCGCGGUAAUACGUAGGGGGCAAGCGUUAUCCGGAUUUACUGGGUGUAAAGGGAGCGUAGACGGCAUGGCAAGUCAGAUGUGAAAGCCCGGGGCUCAACCCCGGGACUGCAUUUGAAACUGUCAGGCUGGAGUGCAGGAGAGGUAAGUGGAAUUCCUAGUGUAGCGGUGAAAUGCGUAGAUAUUAGGAGGAACACCAGUGGCGAAGGCGACUUUCUGGACAGUAACUGACGUUGAGGCACGAAAGUGUGGGGAGCAAACAGGAUUAGAUACCCCUGUA